GUUAAGUCAUCUGACCUUCAGUAUGUAUAGAAGUCUUUUAGCUUUUCGCUUCAAUCAUCAGGGAAUGAAGAGCUCCUUCAGCACAUUUUGGUCUUCGAUUCUCGACUUGCUCCACGCUUGCAAGCGUCGAGCAAAGGAGUGGGCUCAGUAUAAUAUCUCUUUUUGCAAGCCUGUUUUCUUCAUAGCAGGUUUGAUUGUGAGCCAUGCCUUUGUGGACACUGCCGUGAUAUCAAUUUUUAUCUCAUAUAUCACCGAUAAGUGGAAGCAUAAAUCUCUUCCUGUAGCUGCAGCAAUUGUGAACGUACAAGAAGGCAUUUCUACCAUUUUCAGACUUAUCGUAGUUCACAUAGCAGAUUGCUACGUAGGUCGCUUCAAAAUCGUGGCAUGCACCACUUCUUUAUACAUACUUGGAUUGGUGCUGUUGAUUUUUGUUCAUCAGCCUGGAUCAUUUGGAUUAUUUGCCUCAUUGCUAAUAACAGUGGGCAUAGCAGGUCGAGGCCCUACUCUCAAAGCAUUUCUUUCUGAUCACGUAAUCAAACCUACAGAAGCAAACACAAACAAUGUUGAUAACAAGGAGAAAGUUGAGGCCCGCACAAAUUUGUGGUGGCGUGUUGCUUGGUUUCUGGGUGCUGCGAUAGGUGUGAUAAUUUCAUCACUUUACAACUCUAAAAUAGUUUUCAUAGUUUCAGCAGGAGUGAUGGGAGUUGCUUAUGUAUUGUUUUGGUCUGGCAUCUUCUUUUACCACCCCCGUACACCAACUGGGAGCCCUCUUUCCAUUGUCUAUAGAGUUGUUACAGUCGCUGUGUUGAAAAGACAUCUAAGUUACCCUACUGAUAGCAAUGAAGUCCUUCUGUUCCCUCACAAUCCACUCUUCAGGUUCGUCAGAUAUGUUGGUCUGUGUAUGCGAGUCUCUCUUCCGCUCAAUGGAAAACUAAUUAUUGAUAAGUAUUUUACUUUCAGGUUCUUAGACAAAGCUGCAAUUCCUGAAACUUCCAAUCCCGACCAAGAAAGGCAGCAAGGGAGACUUUGCACAAAAGAAGAAGUGAAUCGAGUGAAGAAACUUCUAGCAUUGCUACCCAUGUGGACAAGCUUACUUGUCUAUGCCGUUGCAAAGGCAACAGGCUCCACUUUCUUUAUUGAGCAAAGUGACGGCUUCGAUGAUACGUUGACCAUAAAUGCUUUCCCCAUACUUGCAUCACUGGUAAGUUUCAUAGUUUCAUACUUGUUCAGUGCCUUGAUUCCCAAGCGGUGGAAGGAAAAUAAAGAAAAGCGUGAACUUGUUACUCUCUGGAGAAUUGGUCUGGGGAUGGUGUGUUCUAUAUUAUGUUGUGUUACCGCUUCCAAGGUUGAGGUUCGCAGACAGAGUCAUAAGAAGAUUAAAAUGAGCAAUUUAUGGCUAUUUCCACAGUUUACUUUGUUAGGAGUCAUGGAAGGGCUGGCUCGUGAUGGGCUAACUGAAUUUUUUUACAGUCAAGUAGAUGAAUCUAUGAAGCAUUAUGAAUCAUCAUUGAACGAUUGUAUGCUGGGUAUUGGAAAUUUCUUGAGUGUCAUGUGCGUGUUUGCGUGCAAAACCUGGAUUGGUGAUGAUGUAAACAAUAGUCGCUUGGAUAAAUAUUACCUUAUGCUAGCGGCGCUAAGCUGUGGUAACCUAUGCUUUUAUGUGCUGGUUGCGUUAGCAUAUGCAAGGAAAGAAGCUCCUCUGCAGGAUGAGGAGAUGGAUGAGGUGGAUAUUGAACUGGGUGGUGCAGAGUAUGUGACCCGUUCCACCUCCACAAACCCUGCAAUCACCAAUAUUAUGAUGGAUAAUAAGAAUCUGCGAUCGCGCUCCCUUGAAGUUAAAGGAUAUAGUAGUGAUGUCAACAACAAGAAGCUUCUCUUCCGCUUUCGCACAUUUAAAUGAGUAAUGGUUAGGAAUCAUUUGAUUCAGUUUGUGUCUUCAAAUCAAAAUAAAUGUUCAUAGAUUUAGUUUCUACAGCUUAUGUUGAAUUUAUUUAGUAGUCAAUUUAAUGUUGUAAGGUUUUAUAAUUGUAUACCUCAUCUGGUUUUAUCAAACAUUUCUGGAUAUCCCUACCUUCCUCAUCUGUCAAGAUAUGUUGCAGAAACCUUUUGUCAGGUGGAAGAAGACAAUUUAGCUGCUUUGACACCCAAUUUAUUGUUGAAAUACAAAUAUGCAAAGCCAACUCAUCCAAAUAGCACAGAUGGAUCUUGUCAAG
Molecule: unclassified non-coding RNA, 2213 nt
Filed under: Hevea brasiliensis (rubber tree)
Lineage: Eukaryota; Viridiplantae; Streptophyta; Magnoliopsida; Malpighiales; Euphorbiaceae
Source: RNAcentral